Molecule: ribosomal RNA, 253 nt
Filed under: uncultured bacterium
Lineage: Bacteria
Description: partial 16S ribosomal RNA
Rfam family: Bacterial small subunit ribosomal RNA
Source: RNAcentral
UACAGAGGGUGCAAGCGUUGUUCGGAAUUAUCGGGCGUAAAGCGCGUGUAGGCGGCUUUGCAAGUCGGGUGUGAAAGCCCUCAGCUCAACUGAGGAAGUGCGCCCGAAACUGCAGAGCUUGAGUGCCGGAGAGGGUGGCGGAAUUCCCCAAGUAGAGGUGAAAUUCGUAGAUAUGGGGAGGAACACCGGUGGCGAAGGCGGCCACCUGGACGGCAACUGACGCUGAGACGCGAAAGCGUGGGGAGCGAACAGG